AUGAACAUCACAUGCAUAAUGAAAAUAGGGAGAGAAUCCAAAUGGAGCAAAACAGAAUCAACAAAACAGCAUUGUGGUGGGUGUGGGGGAAAACAGGGAUGGUGGCACUGACUGGAGCAAUAAGCAUGAAGCUUUCUAAUGUUUGAACCAUUUAGAUUCCGUAACAAGAUUUGAUGAGGAAGAGAUAUGAGAAGCUAUAGAAGCUGAGCUCAGAGCACCUAAGGAGAGACGUGGACCUCCCUUGAGGAUCUUCACUCAAAGUUUUGGUCUUUUUGCAGUCUCACGGGGUAAAAUGCAACAUUUUAAAGCACAGAAAAGGAAAUUUAUGGCAACAGAGUACACAUGCACACAAUCUUUCAAUUUAGUUUUAUAUAUUAAAACAGUUGCAAGUUAGCCAGAUGAACUCUUGGCAAACAGUUUGCCCAAUAGUUUCCCCCUUAAAAAAAUAGGAUGACUACAUAUUGCAGGGUAUAGAAGGCUAAUUUUGCAAUCAAAUAAGCAUGGCUAUAAUGAUAGAUGCUAAACCCUGAUCCGUGGAGGCAGAUCCCCCCCUGUUCCUGUGCAGAGGCCAAAUUACUUCCAUGCAACUUUAAGGGUCUGCCUAUCUGCACCAUAUUGCACAACUGGGGCCAAGACUUGACCUCUUAAUCCUGCAGCUACAAUUAGCUGCAAAUACAAACUUAGAGUUUUUGAACAUUUGGACUCUAAGCCUAACCUGAACUGGGCAAAUAAUUUGAGGAAUUUCACCUCCCUCUUUUAAAUUAUUUGCAGAUAAUUUGCUCAGUUUUGUCUGAAAUUACUCAUUUUGGGCAACAGCACUUUUUUUUAAUACCCGUUUCAUGAGUCUGAAUGUUCAGACUGUUUUGACGACGCAGAUCACGUGGCUCAUUUCUGUGCAUUGACUGGAAGUUUUUUGAAUUAAGUUUCCAGUGCAAACACAAUUCAAAUUUUCUUUCUAUACUAUUCAUUUAAAAUGAGCUAAUCUCAAACUUUUAUUUGCUAUAAUAUUCACAGAAAUGAAAACCAGUCGUGAACACAGAUCAAACAAAUUAAUUUAAAACCUGUUAUAGAAAUCUUGCAGAAUUUUUGAAAUCUUAACAUUUGUGGCAUAAUUAAAUGCUUGCUCUUUUCAGAAUGACACUUUACUGAGACAGACCAACUCAUACAUUAAAGUAUUUCCAGGUACACUAAAUACAUUUGGAGAGAAUUUUGAAUAUGAACUCUGACAGCCCAAUGGGAAAUACUUUAGACUAUUAUUAGUCUGUCUUCUCUAUCUGUGUCCUAGCAACUAGCACAUUAUUACAUGAGUAAAGUUAUGCAUGUGCUUAAGUGGUUACAGGACUGAAGCCUAAAUAUGGGUAAGAUGUCACUUUCUGGCAUUUAAAUAAAAUUGUAUAAUUUUAAAUUUUAA
This is a long non-coding RNA of Dermochelys coriacea (leatherback sea turtle), 1411 nucleotides long. RefSeq lists it as uncharacterized. The record is from RefSeq and is a predicted model, not a curated record. The transcript is spliced from 2 exons. NCBI's taxonomy places the organism in Eukaryota, Metazoa, Chordata, Testudines, Dermochelyidae.